This 261-nucleotide ribosomal RNA is filed under the name uncultured bacterium. RNAcentral describes it as "partial 16S ribosomal RNA". It matches the Rfam family "Bacterial small subunit ribosomal RNA", at positions 334 to 614 of the family's 1533-position model. The record is from RNAcentral.
GUGCCUACGGGGCGCAGCAGUGGGGAAUAUUGCACAAUGGGGGAAACCCUGAUGCAGUGACGCCGCGUGAGUGAAGAAGUAUUUCGGUAUGUAAAGCUCUAUCAGCAGGGAAGAAAAUGACGGUACCUGACUAAGAAGCCCCGGCUAACUACGUGCCAGCAGCCGCGGUAAUACGUAGGGGGCAAGCGUUAUCCGGAUUUACUGGGUGUAAGGGAGCGCAGGCGGCAAGGUAAGCCAGAAGUGAAAGCCCGCGGCUCAACU